AGGACUAACGCUGGCGGCGUGCCUAACACAUGCAAGUCGAGCGGGGUAGCAAUACCCAGCGGCAGACGGGUGAGUAACGCGUGGUCAACCUUCCGUUGAAUGGGGGAUAACUAGCCGAAAGGUUAGCUAAUACCGCAUACGAUCUUUUGAAGGCAUCUUUAAAAGAUGAAAGGAGCAAUUCGUUCAACGACGGGACCGCGUCCCAUUAGCUAGAUGGUGGGGUAAUGGCCUACCAUGGCAACGAUGGGUAGCUGGUUUGAGAGAGCGACCAGCCACACUGGGACUGAGAAACGGCCCAGACUCCUACGGGAGGCAGCAGUGAGGAUUUUCCGCAAUGGGCGAAAGCCUGACGGAGCGACGCCGCGUGUGGGAAGAAGGCCUUCGGGUCGUAAACCACUGUCGAAGGGGACGAUAAUGACGGUACCCUUGGAGGAAGGCCCCGGCUAACUACGCGCCAGCAGCCGC
RNAcentral lists this ribosomal RNA (465 nucleotides) under uncultured bacterium. Its description in RNAcentral is "SSU rRNA". It matches the Rfam family "Bacterial small subunit ribosomal RNA", at positions 26 to 518 of the family's 1533-position model. The record is from RNAcentral.